UUGGCCUUGACAUACUAAGAACUUUCCAGAGAUGGAUUGGUGCCUUCGGGAACUUAGAUACAGGUGCUGCAUGGCUGUCGUCAGCUCGUGUCGUGAGAUGUUGGGUUAAGUCCGCAACGAGCGCAACCCUUUUCCUUAUUUGCCAGCGGGUUAAGCCGGGAACUUUAAGGAUACUGCCAGUGACAAACUGGAGGAAGGCGGGGACGACGUCAAGUCAUCAUGGCCCUUACGGCCAGGGCUACACACGUGCUACAAUGGUCGGUACAAAGGGUUGCUACCUCGCGAGAGGAUGCUAAUCUCAAAAAGCCGAUCGUAGUCCAGAUCGCAGUCUGCAACUAGACUGCGUGAAGUCGGAAUCGCUAGUAAUCGCGGAUCAGAAUGCCGCGGUGAAUACGUUCCCGGGCCUUGUACACACCGCCCGUCACACCAUGGGAGUUUGUUGCACCAGAAGUAGGUAGUCUAACCGCAAGGAGGACGCUUACCACGGUGUGGCCGAUGACUGGGGUGAAGUCGUAACAAGGUAAGCGUAGAUGA
Molecule: ribosomal RNA, 534 nt
Filed under: uncultured bacterium
Lineage: Bacteria
Description: bacterial SSU rRNA
Rfam family: Bacterial small subunit ribosomal RNA
Source: RNAcentral